CCCCUCUCAAAGUGAGCAUGUUGGUUCAAUUCUCUUCCACGGCAGAUCAUGCGCAGAGCUCUGCUGAAGAGCUCUAGCAUGAGAAAAAAGCCCUGUAUUUGUUCUGCGCAGUGCAAGCAAAUUUAAUAACUUAUACAAAAAAAAAAAAAACAAGUCCUGCGCUUGCACUGUGUUUCCUUGCAACUUGUCUCUGGUGUCUCUAUAAAUGGAUACCAGGAGUCAAAAGGGCCAGGAAAGAGUAUUGUGCAUGUGUUUGGAGCCUGCUUGGGGUAUUGCGUGUGUGCAGAGUGAGCUGGUUGUGGUAUUGUGUAAUAAGGUCGGUUUUAGUCGUGUUGUGUUUGUGGUGUAAUUUAAUGCAUAUGUGGCUAGGGGCUUUAGAGAAUGUGUUUUUAGGGGAUGUAGCAAGUGUGUGUAUACAGGCUAUAGUGUGUGUGUGUGUGUGUGUGUGUG
Non-coding RNA from Pelobates cultripes (western spadefoot toad), 450 nucleotides. NCBI's taxonomy places the organism in Eukaryota, Metazoa, Chordata, Amphibia, Anura, Pelobatidae. The record is from the annotation of a GenBank genome assembly.